GGCUGCACCCACCUAUAAAAAGGUGGAGGCUCACCAGGACAUGCACACCUCACAAGUUCCUGGCUCUCUCGGCUCGGUUGAAGACGGGUUUCUUCGAGAAGGGGAGGGCAGUGAGGCACAGUCCCCCGCCCCCCGACGCCCCUCGCGAUGCCCCUCCUUCUUCGACUAACCCGCUGCAGAGGAGCCGUGAGAGCCAGGAACUUGUGAGUUUUGUAUGUCCACUCAGGCAUCAUUCAUACCUGGUCUGUAGGAAGUUCCUGUCAGAAGGAGGGGGGCACCGCGAGGGCGUCCAGGGGCGGAAGGCGGUGCCUUAGUGCCUCCCUCCUUCUGACAUUGUAAAAGAACCCUAACUGUAUUUUUUUUUUAAUAGUAAUAUAGAUGUAUAUGUGUGUUUUAUGUCCUCAGAUGAGGUUUGAAGUGUCUGUGUGGUGCAGCUGGCCUGGUCUGUCUCUAUACAGUCGAGGCUGCACCCACCUAUAAAAAGGUGGAGGCUCACCAGGACAUGCACACCUCACAAGUUCCUGGCUCUCUCGGCUCGGUUGAAGACGGGUUUCUUCGAGAAGGGGAGGGCAGUGAGGCACAGUCCCCCGCCCCCCGACGCCCCUCGCGAUGCCCCUCCUUCUUCGACUAACCCGCUGCAGAGGAGCUGUGAGAGCCAGGAACUUGUGAGUUUUGUAUGUCCACUCAGGCAUCAUUCAUACCUGGUCUGUAG
Oreochromis aureus is the source of this 712-nucleotide long non-coding RNA. The record is from Ensembl. Lineage: Eukaryota; Metazoa; Chordata; Actinopteri; Cichliformes; Cichlidae.